Long non-coding RNA from Triticum aestivum (bread wheat), 1338 nucleotides. RefSeq lists it as uncharacterized. The record is from RefSeq and is a predicted model, not a curated record. The transcript is spliced from 3 exons. Lineage: Eukaryota; Viridiplantae; Streptophyta; Magnoliopsida; Poales; Poaceae.
CCACGAGCCAAUUCAGCUCGGGGUGAUCCAACGGCGCAUUAGCCCCGCCCAUUCCGCGACUUUUCCCCGGGAGGGCCUUCCACGUCUGCAGUGGUCGGGGAGGAAACCCUCGCUCGCUCGAUCUCCCGAGCGAGAAGCGGCGGCGGCGGCAAGAUCCACGAACGACGCACCACCACGCUCCGCCCUCCUCUGUCCAACGCUCCGCCGGGCAACACGCACCACCGCCCUACACCUCCACGCCCCGCUCCUCCGGCGGGGGCGACGGCGACUGCGACCGGGGGCAUCAUCCUCCCCCUUCCCGGAUCUCGUCUCUGCCUCAAAGCUUCAGUCACUUCCGGCGAAGACGACGGCCAGAGGUCAUCCUCCUCUUUCUCACCAAGAUAGACGGACCUCCUCUCCUGUCUGAGAUUUGUACCCAAGUGAGCAGCUGUACUGAAGAGCAUCGAAUGCUUUGAAGUGCUCUAUCUAUCCUGACAUCACAAGUGCUCUGACAUUAGAAGUUGGCUUUAUCCGAAGACUUUGUGUUCAAUUGCUUGGUGCCUUUUGAUUCGUCGAUCAUUGAGAAGUUUUCACUCGGAGCAAGAAAGGUAUGUGACGCAGUCAUCCCUUUGACAUGGCCACUGAGCAAGCUUAAAUUAUGCAAAACUACUGCUCUUGUGAUGUUGUUUUUCUCUGCCUAGUAUUGAAAGUGGUCUUAUUUUAGUAUAUGAGAAAACUGAUGCUCUUAAUUAUGUACUUAGAUGUUACAAUAGAAAUGGUAUUAUCUUUGUAUUCACUCCUGAGCUUCCUAGGCUCCUAGCUAUUGGUUCUUUGCAGCCAUAAUAGAGAUGGUAUUAUUAUUGCUUUAUUUAUAAUUAUUAUCGUUGUAUUAAUUUUGUUUUCAUUGGGUAUAAUAGUGAUGGAUUCUAGGAGAAAUAAAAUUAUUAAGAUUAUCUCGCAAGAACAAGAAGAAGACGAUGAACUAUUUUUCUUUUUGGUUCCCGCUUUAUAUGCUUCCCUUUAUGAGGAAAAGCAUCCAGUUCACACAUCAUCUUUAUCUGGAGCUGCAAAGGUUAAGGAAAUAUUAGAAGGCCACGAGAGUUGGUCUAGGGUUGAGUUUCGGAUGGAACCUGAGAUUUUCAAGUCUAUCGUGGAUUACCUUAGAAGAGAGAAUCUAUUGAAGGGCACAUCGCGUGUUGCUGUCAAGGAGCAGUUGGCAAUGUUCAUGUACAUGAUUUCGCACAAUGCUAGUAAUCAAGAUCUACAAAAAUACUUCCAACACAGCGCAGAAACAAUUCAUAGGAAGAUAAACAGGAUUUUUGACUUAAUUCCAACUCUAGCCCAAAGAUUUAUAAAGAU